Myodes glareolus (Bank vole) is the source of this 1277-nucleotide long non-coding RNA. RefSeq lists it as uncharacterized. NCBI's taxonomy places the organism in Eukaryota, Metazoa, Chordata, Mammalia, Rodentia, Cricetidae. The record is from RefSeq and is a predicted model, not a curated record.
GCCUCCGGAGCAGGCACGCGACCUGGUGGUCGCCAGCCCGCGAGCCUCCGCCCGACGCGACACUAGGCCGUCGCGGGUGGCUCCGAGGGAAAGCCCCGGCUGUGGGUGAAGACGGUUGAAAGGGUCUUUACCCUCAGGACUAGGGCUGUCCGCCAGGGAGACCGAAACGCGGACGUUCAAAAAAUAGGAGCGGCGUACGGAGCCCGAACCACACACACGCAGACCGUAAGGAAGCGUCUCGAACACCAAGUGCCCGAAACCCCAACGGUCCGUGCCCCACAGCCUUACCUGCCCCAGCCCCUGCCCAGGCUCGACAGUCGCUCAGAUCAAUGGAUCGCAGGCCCUGCUGUCGCUCUCUGGGGCAUUCGCACUAGCAGGAACUUUAUCAAGUCUCCCGGCGUCUGCGUUAAUUUCCUGGUUUUUACUCAAGGUCUUAGAGGUCCUGUUUUUCAAAUCCUCCAGGCUAGUGUCAGUCAAACCAAAACGCUGGGAGCCUCCCCCGGCCACCUUUCAUUCUUCCCCGCCUUCCUCACCGGCUGCUGGCAGUUUCCCACAGGGCAGCUAAUCGUGAGGUCUAGAAAGUGCUAAGAAACAGGUUAACAGCUAUGGAUUCAAAUGGCACAGUGACCACUUCAGGUAAUCGACAGGGGAUUAUAAUGUGGAAACCAAGGCAUGGACAUCACAGUUCUCUUCUCUGGAGCCAGGGAAAGAAGACAAAGAAGCUGUGUUCGUCAGCUCACCUUCUAUUGCAACUAAAAAAUGCAGGAUGUGGGCUGAACCGAAUUAGUUCACCAAAGGAUGGAAAGCACAGGCAGUAUCACAGGCCUGAUCUCAGUGAGAAGGUACAGGCAGGAAGACGAGGACUUCAAGGUCAUCCCAGGUUAUGUGACCUUGAAAUAACCUUGAGGCCAGCCUAAGGGCUGGAGGGGGUGGGUGGAAGAAAAUGUUUUGGCUUGAUAAAAUGCACUAACAAUCACUGUCCAUCACAGAAGUAAUUCUUUCUCCGUUAUCAGGAAUCUUUCACCCAUCAGAGUGUUUGGAGACAUUGAACUGCUGAUUGAGGCAGUUCGUUUGGGAGUAUUCUUUCAUUACAAGACCGUUUUUGUUGGUUUGCUUGCUUGCUUGUUUUUCGAUUUAUUUAUUUUCAUGGUAUGUACAUGUGUUUGCCUGAAUAUAUGUCUGUGCAACAGCUGAGCUCCUGGUGCCUUCAGAGGAUGGAGGAAGGUGUUGGAUCCCCUGGCACUACGGUUAAAGACUGGGACUGUACCAGGCAUUGG